RNAcentral lists this small RNA (22 nucleotides) under Arabidopsis thaliana (thale cress). RNAcentral describes it as "ATSL221740". The record is from RNAcentral. Lineage: Eukaryota; Viridiplantae; Streptophyta; Magnoliopsida; Brassicales; Brassicaceae.
CAGCAGCCAACGGUGUAUCUCU